GUGGGGAAUAUUGCACAAUGGGCGAAAGCCUGAUGCAGCAACGCCGCGUGAGCGAUGAAGGCCUUUGGGUCGUAAAGCUCUGUCCUUGGGGAAGAAACAAAUGACGGUACCCUUGGAGGAAGCCCCGGCUAACUACGUGCCAGCAGCCGCGGUAAUACGUAGGGGGCGAGCGUUAUCCGGAAUUAUUGGGCGUAAAGAGUGCGUAGGUGGUUUGAUAAGCGUGGGGUGAAAGGCAAUAGCUUAACUAUUGUAAGCCUUGCGAACUGUCAGACUUGAGUGCAGGAGAGGAAAGUGGAAUUCCUAGUGUAGCGGUGAAAUGCGUAGAUAUUAGGAGGAACACCAGUGGCGAAGGCGACUUUCUGGACUGUAACUGACACUGAGGCACGAAAGCGUGGGGAGCAAACAGGAUUAGAAACCCGAGUAGUCC
RNAcentral lists this ribosomal RNA (427 nucleotides) under uncultured bacterium. Its description in RNAcentral is "partial 16S ribosomal RNA". It matches the Rfam family "Bacterial small subunit ribosomal RNA", at positions 354 to 796 of the family's 1533-position model. The record is from RNAcentral.